AGAGUUUGAUCCUGGCUCAGGACGAACGCUGGCGGCGUGCCUAACACAUGCAAGUCGAGCGAAGAACUUAUCAUGAAACCUUCGGGUAGAUUGAUAAACUUCUUAGCGGCGGAUGGGUGAGUAACGCGUGAGGAACCUGCCUUCCACAAGGGGAUAGCCUCGGGAAACCGGGAUUAAUACCCUAUGACACUUAAGAAUCGCAUGAAUUUUAAGUUAAAGCGUUAGCGGUGGAAGAUGGCCUCGCGUCCCAUUAGCUAGUUGGUGAGGUAAAGGCUCACCAAGGCUACGAUGGGUAGCCGGCUUGAGAGAGUGAACGGCCACACUGGAACUGAGACACGGUCCAGACUCCUACGGGAGGCAGCAGUGGGGAAUAUUGCACAAUGGAGGGAACUCUGAUGCAGCGACGCCGCGUGAGCGAAGAAGGCCUUCGGGUCGUAAAGCUCUGUCCUAUGGGACGAUAAUGACGGUACCAUAGGAGGAAGCCCCGGCUAACUACGUGCCAGCAGCCGCGGUAAUACGUAGGGGGCGAGCGUUGUCCGGAAUUACUGGGCGUAAAGGGUACGCAGGCGGCCAUGUAAGUCAGAUGUGAAAGGCGUAGGCUUAACCUAUGUAAGCAUUUGAAACUGUGUGGCUUGAGUUAAGGAGAGGAAAGUGGAAUUCCUGGUGUAGCGGUGAAAUGCGUAGAUAUCAGGAGGAAUACCAGUGGCGAAGGCGACUUUCUGGACUUAAACUGACGCUGAGGUACGAAAGCGUGGGGAGCAAACAGGAUUAGAUACCCUGGUAGUCCACGCCGUAAACGAUGAGUGCUAGGUGUCGGAGGGUAACCUUCGGUGCCGCAGUUAACACAUUAAGCACUCCGCCUG
RNAcentral lists this ribosomal RNA (863 nucleotides) under bacterium enrichment culture clone 080214-ABM-MX80 9-91. RNAcentral's name for it is "bacterial SSU rRNA". It matches the Rfam family "Bacterial small subunit ribosomal RNA", at positions 9 to 873 of the family's 1533-position model. The record is from RNAcentral.